This 468-nucleotide ribosomal RNA is filed under the name uncultured bacterium. Its description in RNAcentral is "partial 16S ribosomal RNA". It matches the Rfam family "Bacterial small subunit ribosomal RNA", at positions 28 to 507 of the family's 1533-position model. The record is from RNAcentral.
GACGAACGCUGGCGGCGUGCUUAACACAUGCAAGUCGAACGGUAAGGCCCUGCUUUUGUGGUGUGCUCGAGUGGCGAUCGGGUGAGUAACACGUAAGUAACCUGCCCUGUACUUUGGGAUAACUUCAGGAAACUGUGGCUAAUACCGGAUAGUAGCUCCUGCUGCAUGGUGUGUGUUUGAAAGUUUCGGCGGCUUGGGUAGGACUCGCGGCUUCUCAGCAUUUUGGUGGGGUAGUGGCUUACCAAGGCUUAGGCGGGGAGCCGGACUGAGAGGGUGACCGGCCACAGUGGGACAGAGAUACGGGCAAGACGCAUACGGGAGGAAGCAGUGGGGAAUAGUGCAAAAUGGGCGGAAGGCGUAAGCAGCAACGCCGCGUGCGGGAUGACGGCCGUAGGGUUGGAAACCGCGUGCGCCUGUGAAGAAGAGUGAGUGACGGUAAUGUAUAAAGAAGGAACGGCUAACUACGUG